This 384-nucleotide long non-coding RNA is filed under the name Gossypium barbadense (sea-island cotton). RNAcentral's name for it is "long non-coding RNA (GBAR_LNC012637)". The record is from RNAcentral. Lineage: Eukaryota; Viridiplantae; Streptophyta; Magnoliopsida; Malvales; Malvaceae.
GGGAGAUCACAUGCGAAGGAUCAGAUCAAUAAUAAGACUAGCUUUAUCCUCGUCCAAUCCAAAAUAGGAUAACUAGAUCGAGCUAACCUACCUUCUUCCGGUCUUGAUCGGAGGAGAAGAAGAAGUGGCAGCGAAUAAUAGUUGAUGGGUAUUAGGUCAACAGGAAGGCAGAAGGAAAAAGGAAUCAAAUCCACUUGUUCAGUCAGCUCGCAAUAGCGAAUACGCGUUUGAAAGCUUUUUCCUUGCUAAAGGAGAUCAAAGCGUGACUUUCCGGUCUUGGUCCUGUACUCUUUCUUAGUCAAGUCAGGUUAUUCGUUCUUUCUAUCAAACCGUUAUAAGGAUCAAAGACAAUCUGUCUUGUUCUGGGGCUAGGAGUUAUAGUUC